UACCAAAUCUUGACAUCCUCUGACCCCUCUAGAGAUAGAGUUUUCCCCUUCGGGGGACAGAGUGACAGGUGGUGCAUGGUUGUCGUCAGCUCGUGUCGUGAGAUGUUGGGUUAAGUCCCGCAACGAGCGCAACCCUUAAGCUUAGUUGCCAUCAUUAAGUUGGGCACUCUAAGUUGACUGCCGGUGACAAACCGGAGGAAGGUGGGGAUGACGUCAAAUCAUCAUGCCCCUUAUGAUUUGGGCUACACACGUGCUACAAUGGACAAUACAAAGGGCAGCGAAACCGCGAGGUCAAGCAAAUCCCAUAAAGUUGUUCUCAGUUCGGAUUGUAGUCUGCAACUCGACUAUAUGAAGCUGGAAUCGCUAGUAAUCGUAGAUCAGCAUGCUACGGUGAAUACGUUCCCGGGUCUUGUACACACCGCCCGUCACACCACGAGAGUUUGUAACACCCGAAGCCGGUGGAGUAACCAUUUGGAGCUAGCCGUCGAAGGUGGGACAAAUGAUUGGGGUGAAGUCGUAACAAGGUAGCC
Molecule: ribosomal RNA, 530 nt
Filed under: uncultured Staphylococcus sp.
Lineage: Bacteria; Bacillati; Bacillota; Bacilli; Caryophanales; Staphylococcaceae
Description: bacterial SSU rRNA
Rfam family: Bacterial small subunit ribosomal RNA
Source: RNAcentral